AGUUCGGAUUGAAGGCUGAAAUUCGCCUUCAUGAAGCCGGAAUUGCUAGUAAUGGCAGGUCAGCAUACUGCCGUGAAUACGUUCCCGGGCCUUGUACACACCGCCCGUCACACCAUGAGAGUUGGGAGCGCCCGAAGCCGGUGAGGUAACCGAGAGGAGCCAGCCGUCGAAGGUGAGACCAAUGACUGGGGUGAAGUCGUAACAAGGUACC
Molecule: ribosomal RNA, 211 nt
Filed under: uncultured bacterium
Lineage: Bacteria
Description: partial 16S ribosomal RNA
Rfam family: Bacterial small subunit ribosomal RNA
Source: RNAcentral